This 498-nucleotide ribosomal RNA is filed under the name uncultured bacterium. Its description in RNAcentral is "partial 16S ribosomal RNA". It matches the Rfam family "Bacterial small subunit ribosomal RNA", at positions 28 to 508 of the family's 1533-position model. The record is from RNAcentral.
GAUGAACGCUGGCGGCGUGCCUAAUACAUGCAAGUCGAGCGAACAGACGAGGAGCUUGCUCCUCUGACGUUAGCGGCGGACGGGUGAGUAACACGUGGAUAACCUACCUAUAAGACUGGGAUAACUUCGGGAAACCGGAGCUAAUACCGGAUAAUAUAUUGAACCGCAUGGUUCAAUAGUGAAAGACGGUUUUGCUGUCACUUAUAGAUGGAUCCGCGCCGCAUUAGCUAGUUGGUAAGGUAACGGCUUACCAAGGCGACGAUGCGUAGCCGACCUGAGAGGGUGAUCGGCCACACUGGAACUGAGACACGGUCCAGACUCCUACGGGAGGCAGCAGUAGGGAAUCUUCCGCAAUGGGCGAAAGCCUGACGGAGCAACGCCGCGUGAGUGAUGAAGGUCUUCGGAUCGUAAAACUCUGUUAUUAGGGAAGAACAAAUGUGUAAGUAACGAUGCACGUCUUGACGGUACCUAAUCAGAAAGCCACGGCUAACUACGUGC